RNAcentral lists this ribosomal RNA (382 nucleotides) under uncultured bacterium. RNAcentral's name for it is "bacterial SSU rRNA". It matches the Rfam family "Bacterial small subunit ribosomal RNA", at positions 28 to 414 of the family's 1533-position model. The record is from RNAcentral.
GACGAACGCUGGCGGCGUGCUUAACACAUGCAAGUCGAACGGUAAGGCCCUUCGGGUACGACGAGUGGCGAACGGGUGAGUAACACGUGGGUGAUCUGCCCUGCACUUCGGGAUAAGCCUGGGAAACUGGGUCUAAUACCGGAUAGGACCAUGGACUUCACGGUUUGUGGUGGAAAGCUUUUGCGGUGUGGGAUGGGCCCGCGGCCUAUCAGCUUGUUGGUGGGGUAAUGGCCUACCAAGGCGACGACGGGUAGCCGGCCUGAGAGGGUGUCCGGCCACACUGGGACUGAGAUACGGCCCAGACUCCUACGGGAGGCAGCAGUGGGGAAUAUUGCACAAUGGGCGCAAGCCUGAUGCAGCGACGCCGCGUGAGGGAUGACGG